Molecule: long non-coding RNA, 1225 nt
Organism: Lycium barbarum (goji berry)
Lineage: Eukaryota; Viridiplantae; Streptophyta; Magnoliopsida; Solanales; Solanaceae
Exons: 5
Source: RefSeq, a predicted model, not a curated record
AAUCUUACAUGCUAGGAUAAUGAAAUAUGCAUCUAUACUUUCUUUACAAUGAUAUAUAUAUAAAUUGUGAUUAAAACAAAUUUUUGUUGGAAAACUUAAUAGCUCUUCUUCUAGACUCCAACAACUCUAGGUACUUCCCAACCUCUCAAAAUUUUGCUUGUUCCGCAAAAACAAAGAAGAAGAUGAAUAUUGAUUGAUUAAACUGAUGCCAGAGCCGUAAAAAUAGUGACUGAAUGAUGAGAUGAAGAAAAAUGGGAAGCAAGCUGUAAGCCAAAAGAAAGUUCGUCAAGUUUUGGAUAUUGAUUCGAGAAGUUACGGUUCGAACUGCUAUUGGACAGUGGUUGCUGGAUUUCUUAUUCUUGAUAUGCUUCUUCUCAACUGUUUAGUACCAUAUCGAUAUAAUUUCAAUUCCUUUGCAGGCAGUUUUCUGUAGUUUGAGUUUUCUGCCUUAAUUUACGCAUUUGAUUUCAUUCGAAUGCUCUAUGCAUUUUGUAACGGAGGCAUACAGGAAUUCCAUCAUUUGGUUCGUCCAGUCCAUGCUUGAUUGAUGAAUGGAAUUCCCUACUAAGUCAUGUCCAUUUACAGUCAUCUUUGGUGUGUACUAAAUUGGGUAUCAAGUCUUGUAUGCUGUGUAAGAAUGCUUAUGUAACUACCAUGUAUCCAACAAUCAACUCUCAAAUCUGUAUAACACAUUUCAUGCCUAAUUUCACAUAGAGAUAUGUACUAUGAAUAACUCUUGGUAACUAGUCAAUGUCGAUAUUGCAGUUCAUCAGAAUCUUGGAGCGAAUACAGAGUUCAUUUGAGGCAAUUGUGUUAUUUGGAGGUUCCACACAUAAGAUCACGGGAGAGAAAUAUCAGUCUUCAGGACUAAGUCACAGGCCAUAAUGAAAGUCAGCAAAUGUGUAGGCAAGAGUUGGAUGACUUCCAUCCCUAAGGAAAUGAAAGAGAUGAUCAAGAGGUUAAGAUGUUAAAGGCUCAAGUUGGUGAACUGCAUCAAUGUAGGAUCAAAACUUCUAAGGCAAAAGUAAAAGGCUGUCUCUUCUAGUUAUGAAACAUUCAUCAAUUUCAGCGAAUUUGAUAUGCUUUUAUUAGUAUGUAUACCUCUUAAUAAUGUGUAAUUACCAGGAAAUUCUUGAAAUAGUUUUUUUUUUAAAAAAAAGAUGUAACAUUUAGCCACAGUUAAACCGUGGCAAAGUGUGAAUUUUUUUCCCAGCACAUCAAAUUA